RNAcentral lists this unclassified non-coding RNA (619 nucleotides) under Hevea brasiliensis (rubber tree). The record is from RNAcentral. Lineage: Eukaryota; Viridiplantae; Streptophyta; Magnoliopsida; Malpighiales; Euphorbiaceae.
UAGGCACUUAUAUAUGUGUGUGUGUGUAUUUAUAAUUUAUUGAAAUGACAAAAUAUAUCUAAAAAACAUAUGUAUAAAAUCAGCUCUUCGGUUCAGUUCUAGUUUGGUUUCAGUACAUUUCUAGUUCAAUUCUUGGUGAAGAACUAAAACCAAACCAAAACAGUAAAUUUAAGUUCAGUUAUGGUUUGGUUCUUACUGCUGUAACUAUUCUUUUUUGGUUCUGGCAAAAAUUGGUACGAAUAUUUGGUUCAGGUUGGAACCCAGAACCGUGCACACUACACAGCCCUACUAUUUAUAUAUCCAUCCACAACCCCAUAAAUAUCAAUAAAGAUAAGCAUAAAAAUAUUAGCUUUUCAUGUGAUGCAUCCACAAAAAUUUUAUUUUAUUACAACUGCCCUGCACUUGCACUUUGUAUAUAUUCAAACAGCCAAUACCAUCCAACUUUAGAAAAAUUUCAAUGACGAGGAUUUUUUAAUCAGAUAAAAUACAAUGAAACAAAAUAAAAGUCUCCUAAGUUCGUAUCAACCAGUGUUAUCAACGGCGAGCGAGGCGCCAGGCGAGGAUAGGCGCUCCUCUAUCGCCUCAACUGGAACGCCUGGCUAGACUUUGGGGAGGCGAU